CGUUGCACGUUGCGUUGUAUUCACUUUGAGAUAAAAAUCAGAGAAGAAGGAGUGUAUUAAGGUGGUUGACUUAUACUUCAAGGUGUAUAUUCUCUUAUACAAGCUAAGAGGAACCGUUUGACGAAGUGGAUUUUGGUUGAUCUAUGACAUAGAGAAAUUGAACUCCUCGAGUGGUGGUAGAACUUGUUGUGUGCUAAAACGCCAAGGUGAUGUGCGAGACGGGAUAUGAAGAUGGCCAUGUGGAGUAGACUUUUUGGGAGCUCUUUUGAAGAUCACAUAUGCAUAUACAUCUAGUUUUUGUAUAUUAUUUUGGGGACUUGUACAUGAUACAUGUGUGGCACUUAUGUACGAAA
Molecule: long non-coding RNA, 353 nt
Organism: Solanum dulcamara
Lineage: Eukaryota; Viridiplantae; Streptophyta; Magnoliopsida; Solanales; Solanaceae
Exons: 3
Source: RefSeq, a predicted model, not a curated record